This is a non-coding RNA of Xyrauchen texanus (razorback sucker), 670 nucleotides long. The record is from the annotation of a RefSeq genome assembly. Lineage: Eukaryota; Metazoa; Chordata; Actinopteri; Cypriniformes; Catostomidae.
AACUGAAGACGGAGAACUUCUUCAUCCAGAAUCUAGAUCCACAGCAAUCAUGACUUUCAUCAGCAUCUUUAUCUGGAUGUUCACUAGCUACUGUUUUAGAGAAUCCAGAUGUGCAGUGACAGUCACUCAAACACCUGCAGUGAAAUCUGUUCAUCUUGGAGACACAUUUACUAUCAGCUGUAAAACCAGUCCUGAAGUUUAUCAGGGUUGGGGUAAUCAGCCUCUUGCCUGGUAUCAGCAGAAACCUGGAGAAGCUCCUAAACUCCUCAUAUAUGCUGCAACAAACCGCUACACCGGAACUCCAUCUAGAUUCAGUGGCAGUGGAUCUAAAAGUGAUUUCACUCUGACCAUCAGUGGAGUCCAGACUGAAGAUGCAGGACAUUAUUACUGUCAGAGUGUACAUGAGAUCAGUGACAGUUAUGUGUUCACACAGUGAUAAAGAGUCGUACAAAAACCUCUGUCAGUCACACUGCACUGAUACACUGACAGAUACUGCAGCUGCUCACACACAUACACACACACACACACACACACACACACACACACACACACACACACACACACACAGACACACACACACACACACAGACACACACACACAAUGUUGGUUUUCCAUGUUUUAUGGGGAAUUUCCAUAAUGAUUUUUAUACUGUACAAACUGUAUUUUCUA